UACGUAGGCCUCAAGCGUUAUCCGGAUUUACUGGGCGUAAAGGGUGCGUAGGCGGUUUAUCGCAUCUUUGGUUAAAGACCCAAGCUCAACUUGGGGAACGCCAAAGAGAUGGGUAAACUAGAGAAUACCAGGGGUGGCUGGAACUGCCGGUGUAGGGGUGAAAUCCGUUGAUAUCGGCAGGAACGCCGGAGGUGAAGACGAGCCACUGGGGUAUUUCUGACGCUGAGGCACGAAAGCGUGGGGAGCAAAAAGG
Molecule: ribosomal RNA, 253 nt
Filed under: uncultured microorganism
Description: partial 16S ribosomal RNA
Rfam family: Bacterial small subunit ribosomal RNA
Source: RNAcentral